Molecule: ribosomal RNA, 406 nt
Filed under: uncultured bacterium
Lineage: Bacteria
Description: partial 16S ribosomal RNA
Rfam family: Bacterial small subunit ribosomal RNA
Source: RNAcentral
AUUGAACGCUGGCGGCAGGCCUAACACAUGCAAGUCGAACGAGUGGCGGACGGGUGAGUAAUGUCUGGGAAACUGCCUGAUGGAGGGGGCAGACUACUGGAAACGGUAGCUAAUACCGCAUACCAUCGGAUGUGCCCAGAUGGGAUUAGCUAGUAGGGGGGGUAAAGGCUCACCUAGGCGACGAUCCCUGGCUGGUCUGAGAGGAUGACAAGCCACACUGGAACUGAGACACGGUCCAGACUCCUACGGGAGGCAGCAGGGGGGAAUAUUGCACAAUGGGCGCAAGCCUGAUGCAGCCAUGCCGCGUGUAUGAAGAAGGCCUUAGGGUUGUAAAGUACUUUCAGCGGGGAGGCGUUACCCGCAGAAGAAGCACCGGCUAACUCCGUGCCAGCCGCCGCGGUAAUUC